Molecule: long non-coding RNA, 5460 nt
Organism: Dermacentor silvarum
Lineage: Eukaryota; Metazoa; Arthropoda; Arachnida; Ixodida; Ixodidae
Exons: 2
Source: RefSeq, a predicted model, not a curated record
CAUGCAUGCAUGCAUGCAUGCAUGCAUGCAUGCAAUGUGGGCACUCGAGGCCUCGACAUUUCGUAGCGCUUGAUGAAGCCAGCAGACAAGGAAACCAAGGAAGGACAUAGGCAAAAUUAUACAUGAUGUUAAACUUGCGGUAACCUUCAUACGUAUUCUUGCUAGAUAAAAAGGGAAAUGAAAGUGGUGAAAGGAACACCGUACCAGCCUUACACUGCGAAAUCAUAGCACCAUUAUCUGAUUUACUCGGCGAUGUCUGAAGCACUCAUCAAAAAGCAUCAACGCGUUCGAUCUCCCAGAAGAGGUGUCUUUCUUCUCUUUUACCAUUGAGUUCCAAAAAUAGCGUUAUCGCGCAUACUGUCCUGUUUGCCUUAUCGUUUUCGAAUUCAAAGCAGGGCGUAUGACGUCGCCCUUGACGGCAUCGAUUCCGGUGUGCUUGAGCGCGUUACAUAAGGAGCAAGCAUUACACGAAAACACAGAGAGAGAUAGCGAGAGAGCGAGAGAGCGAAGUUGUGGGAGCGUCAAAGCCGGGGAAUUCUUCAAGGCCGGCUCCUGCGUCGGCAAUGACGUCACUACGGCUACCGCGCUGAGGCGACCGUACCUCCCGUGACCAGACCGGGCACUCUGCCAGGUAGAAGCCGAUGUCGCGGUCAUUCCCGCGUUUCACCGUCGGGUAAACAACCGCGAGGGCAGAUGCGCGUUCUGGUUGGGUCCACGGCAAAGGCAGAGUUCAGGCUGUCAAUCGUGUAGCGCUAAUGCCGUGCCACUGGCAUCCUAAAAAAAACACUUCCUUGAACUUCGCACGGUCCUAUAAAUAGACCAACGACUCUGACAGCAGAAACUCGAUGUUAAAAUGAAACGAGAAUAUAUAAAGUACCUGUCCGGGGCGAUGCGAGGUCAAUGCAAACACCUUCUUACUCGGUUCAUUUAUAGCAACCACCUGCUCACACUUGAAGGACCAGACCAGUCGUCUGCAGAUGGCCAUCUGAUCUAUAUAGCGAUAACGCUCCCUAAGACUACAAGUUUCACAUGAAGCUGUUGUUAUGCUUCGUGAUUUAGUGAACGGUGAAAGGGGGGCUAUAAGGCUCGCAACUUUAGAUUUUAGCCGACUGCGCUGUAGCAUAGGUAAUUACUCAUACGCAGGACAUCAUGUGAGGCGCCGUUGAAAUCUAUGCGUAAAAAGCCUGGCUACCGUUUUAAGCAAACUACGAAGCAUUUCCGGCUUAACGCACUUGAAAUAGCAUGUUUUUUUAACAUCUCUGCAGUUGUUUCAGGAACAUGAAGUCACUUUUGUUGACUGAAUUUCAAACAAGACGUCACGUCUACAUUCCGAAGCCGUAAAUAUUUUCCUUACCAACGGGGGACCUCUGCUGUGACCAGUUAGUAAAUUCGCCCGAAGUAGUUCAGGCAUUGCCUUAAAUUUUAUAUUAAAGAAAAAAAAAAACUUCGCGAGCGAGAAAUCCUCGUAAUCAUUCGCGUCCACCUUUUUGAUGUGUCGCAGGAACCAUACCCACGGUUGUUUACUCAUCUGAUUUUAAUCACGCGGACUACAUUGCAGUGUAAUAUACAUAGCAGCCACAGUAUUGAGACGAGAAAUGAGACAUUGGAAGGAUUCUGGAAGGUUGACAAUGGAAAAGAAUUGUAUUGAACUUGUCGCCUGCAUAAGUUUCUGAGAGCCCGCCAUGCUGGCGGUAAGACUUUAAUUACAUCGGACCCGUCAAAAUGUACAAAAAAAAAGGCAACGCAAAAAAGGAGUGAGAGGAUAAUUGAGACAAUCCGCCACUUGACCUGGAAGCAGAGAGCAUCUACACGGUGGCCCCGGCCAUUCAGAGCCUUCCCACUGGCUCGAGACCUUCGUUGCUCAAGGUAGCCGGCCUUAUCGUCGGAGGCCGACUCAAAAAAACAGAUGCGCAUUGCUCGGUACGCGGUGGCAACGACUAGAAGUUUGCACGACACCAAGUAGUAUUCAGAAGCAGGAAACGCGUUCUUUUUCAACGUUAAUCGUGCCGACAAAGGCACCCUUGCAAGCAAAGCAGACCUAUCUCGACACCGCGUCAGCUAGCACAGACUCGCUGUUGGAGGCCGCUGGUCGACUGCAUUUAUACGUGUAGCACAAUCGCAUAACGGCUGGAUAAACGCUGGCUAAGUGCGCACUGCCACGAUUACUGAGUUGAACCGCCUCGCCGGGUGCCCUUAGUAGCCGCGCUGGCUUUGCGCACCUCGUGAACACGCCCUCGGCGAAUCCUCCCUGCGCUCGUUUCAGUCAGUUGUGUGUUUACAUUGAAAUGGCAAAUGAAAUGCUGACUUUGGCAGUUCAUGGUAUAUUUCCUUUAAGUCUGUCUUGAGUAGUUUUAAAUUACAAGCAGUGAAAACGAUUUUGGAGCAUGUUGGUUCAUUAUGGAGCUUUGCUGUAGAGCACAAGGACGCGGGUUUGAUUUCCUUCCGCGUUGACGCGUUUGUGCUGGCGCAGGACGCAAGAAACUGCAUAGAAUCAAUCAAUCAAUCAAUCAAUCAAUCAAUCAAUCAAUCAAUCAAUCAAUCAAUCAAUCAAUCAAUCAAUCGAUCGAUCAAUCAAUCGAUCGAUCGCUCAAUAAAUCAGUCAAUCACCAACUAACCAACCCACCCACCCAAUCAAUCAAUCAAUCAAUCAACCGACGCCACAAUGCUGCGCGACUGCUGUUUUCAGUCGACAAAAUUGGAAAUGUGGCAUAAUUAGCGUACGGGCAUUCACCAGACAAGAUACGAUCUCGUUAGCGUCCUUCGUCCGUGUGCGAACGAGUUCUCUACGAGUGCUUCUGGGCACCUCGUCCCUGUUUGCGUUACGUAACCGUGACUAUCAAGGGCUAAUUCGUUUCUAGUUGUUAACACCGUGUAUCCCUUCUUCCUCCUCCUAUACCGUACAGUCACGCUCACUUCCUCGAGAACCAGCCGACGAGGGCAUUGUUCGGAAAAAGUAUGCGUCCGCAUCGUGCGUAUUCCAGCCAGUUCGCCGUAUUAAUGCUUUCGUUAUUUCAUGCCUACGUUUUUUUCUUCUUCUUUUUCUUUUUCGAACUCAUAAGGUCGCACCCGGUCUUGAGCGUACCCGAAGGCGCAUCGCUUCGCUCGUGAAGGAGGCAGUGCCUGCGCUGCCACGCACGCUUCCGCGUUCGGCUAUAAAAGGAAGGAAGGAAGUCUACGCAGCCGCGCGCGAGUGUGUGUCUGUGUGCGCCUGUCCAUGGCUUUAUACGCUUCUCGGGAAAGCGGGUCACUCGUGGCGUAGUGGAAGAGUACAAGCAAAAGUGAAAAAAAAAAGAGAAGCACAGAAGAGAGUGCGCGAAUUAUGGGUGGACAGUGCGCUAGGAAAAAAAGAAAAAAAAAAAACAUUGAGACACGCUGCAGUUCUUAUCCGCGAUGCGGAGCCAUGCUGUGUACAUACCUGCAGCGGCACGCUGCGUGGCUUUGAAAUUACGAUCCGAGUGUUCGAAAAUAGCGGUUUCCGAGGUCGCUGAUGUCUUGUCAGUCGUCCACCGGCCCUCUGAUAUACACAGGCUGUGCCGUUUCCUGAAUGCUCUUUCUCACUCGGGACUCUGUGUCAGCUGAUGGCGAUGCGCGCUUGCGAAUUGGGCUGCACGCGGGACAGCGCUUAAUUUGCCACCAACACCAACUGACGAUCCUGUCGUAUAAACCGAGCGUUCUCGUACAAUCGUUUCUUCCCUGUGUCUUGACUUUGCCUAUAGUGAUAUACAAUCAUACCUCGCUAACUAAUCUCCCUUCAGUCGCGCGUUGAAUUCAGAUAAUGACGGUACAUGCAACUCCAGCCCUGCCAUAUCACAUUGUAGUAUGCGGAUGCACGUCGGUGUUAACGCGCCAUCAGGGAUGCUGCUGUUGUGGCGCACAACACGCAAACGACUGCGAGUUAGAAGACAAGUUAGUUAUUAUUUAUGUUUUGAGUAAAUACGAAACGUAGGAGCCUCUGUCGCGCCCGCUUUCUGGUUGCCCUGUGACUUGCCGCGAUGUUCGGUUCCACUUAAAAAUAAAUAUAUACGACUGGCACACCCGGUCAUUUCAGAGGCAAACGGUAAAUACCCACGCCUUUCGUCACAUGAAUGGAACGAAUGAGUUUGCUCGAUGACAACAUAAGCACCCAUAGCUCGGCUUUACUCGAUUAAACGAUCAUAAGCGGCGAUCUGCUGUUUUGGAACAUAAGGAGAACCUAUACCACGAGGUUUUUGUGAAAGAGGACGUCGCAGUGAUUAGCGUAUCUUUGUGGAAGUGUCUCACUAUACAACUAACACGUUUGUUGGGAGACUCACGUCGUAUAUUUCUAGCGCUUCUAUAUUUUUUUAAUAACAAGUAUAAAGUGCUCUUUUGACGUCUUUCUGGCAUGCUCCGCUUUCAUUGAACGACGUCAUAGUUGCGGUUAUUUUUUCUUUGUAACUUUUAGAAGCUUGCAUCGUUAUUCACCUGUUCUCCCAUAAGUAUGCUACCGCUACUCGGAAACGGCUCGAUAUGCUUGCUGCCACUUUUUCCACCAGUAACAGCGGCGUUCCUGACAAAAGAUGUAACGACGCUGCGAACACGACGGACAACAGGCGCCGGCUGCACGCUCUUCUUGUGUAAGUCUCUAUUCCGUCAGUAAAAUGAUUGACGAGGUUCAAAGUUUCGAAUAGUGAAGCUGAGAGAGAUGCUGUAAUGGAGGACACCGAACCUAUUAUAGGCACCUGGGGUUCUUUAAAGUAUACCUAAGUAUAUGUGCGCGAACGGCAUUUGCAUUCUGACCCCUCUUAAAUGCAGCGGCCGCGUGAAGAAGUCGAGUCCAUGCCUUAUAGUGCUCAGAAGCAUAACAACACGCCCACUGAGUAAUCGCGUUGUAUAUACUCCGAGGGAAACGCGGUGCGAUUUUGGCCAGCCAUGAGUUCCGAUCUUCCUGACGAAAGCCUAUUAAUAAUAUGCGAGGUAAACGACUUAUCAACGCUUGGACUCACAAAAAGUCCUUAUGGUAACAGCUGUUCCAAAAAGCAGAUGCAACCAACCAUAACCUGGUUAUACUGUAACUAUCAUAACACCCAGAACUAUCAAGGCGGACCGGCCAAUGGAGAGUAGCGCUUACAAACAAAAAAACGUUUCAAAUUUGACCCCGUUCAGUAUUGCUUUUCUGUAGUUAUCAAUCACGGCUUUGACGGCCCUCUGUAGAAUCGUUCAUUUGGAGCCUCUCUCGUUCGAGUUAGCUGUUAGCGUCAACUCCACUCGGCCACGAAUCGCAGGCCGUGCCCCGAGGCAGCGCACGAAAUCAGGGUCCCUAAUAAGGUUUGACGGCGUUGCAGAGCUUUCCAUCACUGCCCUAGUUUGCGCUGAUCGGGCAUCGCUGAACAACCCUGACAACGGUACCACUAGAGGCCAUCAUGAUAGUAGUUAAACGCUCCAUCGCGAUCGCUAUCACCGUCCUUGGCGCCGGGCGAAUAUGCAGGGGUUGGUUUCGAA